RNAcentral lists this ribosomal RNA (279 nucleotides) under uncultured bacterium. RNAcentral describes it as "partial 16S ribosomal RNA". It matches the Rfam family "Bacterial small subunit ribosomal RNA", at positions 506 to 784 of the family's 1533-position model. The record is from RNAcentral.
UGCCAGCUGCCGCGGUAAUACGUAGGGUGCGAGCGUUGUUCGGAAUUACUGGGCAUAAAGGGUGUGUAGGCGGAAUGGUCAGCUAGGGGUGAAAGCCCGGGGCUCAACCCCGGAACUGCUCUUAGAACUGCCAUUCUAGAGAAGGUCAGAGGCUAACGGAAUUCCUGGUGUAGAGGUGAAAUUCGUAGAUAUCAGGAGGAACACCGGCGGCGGAAGCGGUUGGCUGGGGCCAUUCUGACGCUGAGGCACGAAAGCGUGGGGAGCGAACGGGAUUAGAUA